RNAcentral lists this ribosomal RNA (484 nucleotides) under uncultured bacterium. RNAcentral describes it as "bacterial SSU rRNA". It matches the Rfam family "Bacterial small subunit ribosomal RNA", at positions 28 to 523 of the family's 1533-position model. The record is from RNAcentral.
GACGAACGCUGGCGGCGUGCUUAACACAUGCAAGUCGAACGGAAAGGCCCUUUCGGGGGUGCUCGAGUGGCGAACGGGUGAGUAACACGUGGGUGAUCUGCCCUGCACUUUGGGAUAAGCCUGGGAAACUGGGUCUAAUACCGGAUAGGACCACGGCAUGCAUGUGCUGUGGUGGAAAGCUUUUGCGGUGUGGGAUGGGCCCGCGGCCUAUCAGCUUGUUGGUGGGGUGAUGGCCUACCAAGGCGACGACGGGUAGCCGGCCUGAGAGGGUGUCCGGCCACACUGGGACUGAGAUACGGCCCAGACUCCUACGGGAGGCAGCAGUGGGGAAUAUUGCACAAUGGGCGCAAGCCUGAUGCAGCGACGCCGCGUGGGGGAUGACGGCCUUCGGGUUGUAAACCUCUUUCAGCCAUGACGAAGCCUCUUUGGGGUGACGGUAGUGGCAGAAGAAGCACCGGCCAACUACGUGCCAGCGCCGCGGUAA